Molecule: ribosomal RNA, 481 nt
Filed under: uncultured bacterium
Lineage: Bacteria
Description: partial 16S ribosomal RNA
Rfam family: Bacterial small subunit ribosomal RNA
Source: RNAcentral
GAUGAACGCUGGCGGCGUGCUUAACACAUGCAAGUCGAACGAAGCACUUUAUUUUAUUUCCUUCGGGACUGAUUAUUUUGUGACUGAGUGGCGGACGGGUGAGUAACGCGUGGGUAACCUGCCUUGUACAGGGGGAUAACAGUUGGAAACGGCUGCUAAUACCGCAUAAGCGCACGGCAUCGCAUGAUGCAGUGUGAAAAACUCCGGUGGGAUAGGAUGGACCCGCGUUGGAUUAGCUAGUUGGUGAGGUAACGGCACACCAAGGCGGCGAUCCAUAGCCGAGAUGGGAGGCUGCCCCGCCACGUCGGGACUGAGACACAGCCCAAACUCCUACGCGAGGGAGGAGUGGGGAAUAUUGCACAAUGGGCGAAAGCCUGAUGCAGCGACGCCGCGUGAGCGAAGAUGUAUUUCGGUAUGUAAAGCUCUAUCAGCAGGGAAGAUAAUGACGGUACCUGACUAAGAAGCACCGGCUAAAUACGUG